ACCAUCUUAACAAUUUUUCAAGAAUACAAUUCAGUGGUAUUACACAUAUUAAUAAUGUGUAUAUGUGUUACUAUCAUCUAUAUCCAGAAAUCUUUUUAUUUUAUAAACCUAAUUCUAAGCUGGGCAGUGGUGGUGCAUGCCUUUAAUCCCAGCAGAGGCAGGCGGAUCUCUGAGUUUGAGGCCAGCCUGGUCUACAGGGUGAAUUCUAGGACAGUCAAAACUACACAAGGAAAACCUGUUUCACACCCCCCCCCCCAAACCAAAGCAAACCAAACCAAAAACCAAUCAAACCCCCAAAACCAACCA
RNAcentral lists this long non-coding RNA (306 nucleotides) under Rattus norvegicus (Norway rat). RNAcentral's name for it is "long non-coding RNA NONRATT028880". Lineage: Eukaryota; Metazoa; Chordata; Mammalia; Rodentia; Muridae. The record is from RNAcentral.